AUUGUUUUUAUUUUAAAGUGAAAAACUUACUUUGAUAUAGUAAAAAUGUUUAUUUAAUAAACAAAACAAA
RNAcentral lists this transfer RNA (70 nucleotides) under Baltalimania ylvae. RNAcentral describes it as "tRNA-Ile". The record is from RNAcentral. Lineage: Eukaryota; Metazoa; Xenacoelomorpha; Acoela; Isodiametridae.